Molecule: RNA transcript, 4399 nt
Organism: Manis javanica (Malayan pangolin)
Lineage: Eukaryota; Metazoa; Chordata; Mammalia; Pholidota; Manidae
Gene: QPCTL
Gene name: glutaminyl-peptide cyclotransferase like
Source: RefSeq, a predicted model, not a curated record
UCUGACUGUUCCAGGGGGUGUGACUUGGCUGGGCCUAAACUAGCUCCGCGGUCCCCAACCGCUUUCAGCGCGAAGCUGCCAUGCGUUCCGGGGGCCGCGGGCGACCCCGCCUCAGACUCGGGGAACGCAGCCUCUUGGAUCCACCCCCGGCGCCCAAGCGCCGCCUGCUACCGCGGGCGCAGCUGUUUCCCCUGCUACUGCUGGCGCUGGCAAUGGCCUGGGCAUUCUACACCAUCUGGAGCAGCUGGCAUCGCGGGACUGAGGAGCUGCCGCGGGGCCGAGAGGUGGGGGGCCGGUUGAUCGGAAGCCUCCCCGAAGCCCAGCUGCGGAGGGUGGUGGGGCAACUUGACCCACAGCGUCUCUGGAACACGUUCCUGCGCCCUCUGCUGGUUGUGCGGACGCCGGGCAGCCCAGGCAAUCUCCAAGUCCGAAAGUUCUUGGAGGCCACACUACGGACCCUGACAGCAGGCUGGCACGUGGAACUGGACCCCUUCACAGCCUCAACGCCUCUGGGGCCACUGGACUUUGGCAAUGUUGUGGCCACGCUGGACCCGGGGGCUGCCCGUCACCUCACCCUUGCCUGCCAUUACGACUCUAAGCUCUUCCCUUCUGGUUCAGCCCCCUUUGUGGGGGCCACGGAUUCAGCUGUGCCCUGUGCCCUGCUACUGGAGCUGGUUCAGGCCCUUGACCUGGAGCUGAGCAGAGCCAAGAAGCAGGCCACCCCAGUGACCCUGCAGCUGCUCUUCUUCGACGGUGAAGAGGCACUGAAGGAAUGGGGACCCAAGGACUCCAUUUAUGGCUCCCGGCACCUGGCCCAGCUCAUGGAGUCUGCACCCCACAGUCCUGGCCCCACAAGGAUCCAGGCUAUUGAGCUCUUCAUGCUUCUUGAUCUCCUGGGAGCCCCCAGUCCAACCUUCUACAGUCACUUCCCUCACACAGCCCGCUGGUUCUAUCGGCUCAGGAGCAUCGAGAAGCGCCUGCACCGCUUAAACCUGCUGCAGUCUCAUCCCCAGGAAGCGAUGUACUUCCAGCCCGGGGAGCCCCUUGGCUCUGUGGAAGACGACCACAUCCCCUUCCUCCGCAGAGGGGUUCCGGUGCUCCAUCUCAUCCCCACGCCCUUCCCUUCUGUCUGGCACACGCCUGACGACUCUGAGGCCAACCUGCACCCACCCACGAUACACAACCUGAGCCGCAUCCUUGCUGUGUUCCUGGCUGAAUACCUGGGGCUCUAGCCUCCCUGGCUGACUCUGAAGGAGAAGCACCCAGUGGGGGACGUGCCAGGGGCACCUGGAGCCAGCACAGCUUAGGCUUGGCUCGCCUUGGGUGUGCUGGCUUAUCCUUUUGGAUACCUUCAGCUCUGCUUGUACCGUGAUUGGGAGACCCUCGCUCCUUUGACCUUCUCAAGUUGUCAUCCUUCAGAGAAAUGGAGACCACAGUGUGGUAGAGCCAAAGGAAUGUGUUUGACUCCUUCCUUGAAGGAAACACUUGGUCUGAAGAUUUGCAGGGACCAUGCUGUUCUGUUUUAGUCAACCAUGGACUGGCAACUGGACCAGCACCACCACCCAACCAAGUGAAUUCUCCUGCUACUGCUGCAGACCCAACCUAACUCACACGGAUGUGCCAUAUGGGGUCCACAGAGGACCUGCUGGUAAGCAGGAAGAGAUGAAAGCCAACGCUUGCAAACUCCAGUCUGCUGGACCCAAUCAAUGGGCAAUAUAAACCAGUAUUUUCACAGACCAUGUUCUGCAGAAUUAGCAUAAAAUAGGUGUUGCAUGGAAAGGGAUCAAAACAGGGUGAGAAGACGUUAAAUGAGUUUCUUCGUUGCACAAUGUGAAUUUUCGAAUGUGCAGUGUUUUCCAAAAGUAUUUUCUAUGGAACUCCUUUACUGGGAAGCACCUCAUUGAACAAGGAUACCUCAGAAGGUACUUUGGGAAACACUGGAUUUUGAUAGUGUGAGUGCCAUCUAUGAAAGGAAUGAAUCAGACAGACCUGGAUGCAUUGCAAACUAGUUUUACCAGACUGUUCUUUCUCUCUCAGUUGUGGGUAGAGGAGUGCAAGAUGGGUGUUAACUGCGACUCUAAUGAUGGCCUAAGAACAAUUUCCCAACCCUCAUUUUCAGACUUGACUAGGGUGCAAAAAUGCAGACUCCUGGGUUCCACCGCAGACCUCCUCGGUCAGAUCUCCAGGGACGGGAUGGGACUCUAAGAAGCACCUGAGGAAGCCUCUUGGUCAGCAAGUUGGGGACAUGCUGUCCUUAUGGUUAUAGUUUGGUGCACUCACAGCUGCUCGGCAGACCUACCCCGAAGACCAUAAAGUGGAGGGCCCCUGGGCUCUGUGCCCGCGGUUUUAAUGGAGAUUCUGGUGGGCAGCAAGGAUGCCAGGCCAGGAUGGAGGGUUACUAAGUAGUGAUGGCAAGCACUGGGCUUCCCAGCCAAUGUGAGGCUGGAGAGGACUCAAGAGAAUCCCCAGACUAUCAGAGAGAGAGGAUAAACAGAAGGUCUUCGAUUCACAUUCUUCCAUGGUAGCUGGCAUUAACUGGGCAUCUGCAAUUUGCCACGCACCAUGAACAGUUUACAUAUAUUAACUCAUUUAGUGCCCCACCCUUAAAUCCUGAAAGGCACAAUUUCAGUUCUUGUUUUGCAAAGGAGGUAGCUAAGGCUAAGAUUUAUGACCUGGUUGUUUAUUAGAGGGUCCAGAUUCUCACCCACUUUACACCCGUGGCCUACCUCCCUCCCCCAAAACAUCUCUGCAGGACCAACAGGCUGUUGACAAAAAGUAGCUCCUCCUGAGGCCCUUAAUUGGCUGCAAAUUAUAGUGCAUGGAGUAGGGUGACUAAUGACCUAUUAGGUGCAAGUGGUGGAAGUCAGGGUGCAGAAAUGGAAGUUGACAGACACCAACAGCCAGAGUGGCAAGAGGGUCUCAAACCUGUUUGACAGUUCCUGUUUGUUCAUUGUGGCAGGUAUGGUGCUGGACACUUACAAAUGUACCAUCUCUCCUUAGCCUCACAGCCAUCCCAGAAGUAAGUGAGACCCUCAUCUGUUUUAGAGGGAAGGCCACGUGUUCACUUAUACCCCUGGCCUUCUGUAACUCCCUGCAAGGUGAGUGUACUACACACCAGGCACUAAGCAAGGGGGUCUGAUGCACAUUUCCCCUUGAAUCAGGGUAAUAAGGAUUGUUAGCCCCAUUUUACAGAUGAGGCUACUGAUGCUUGGCAGGGUGGUAUUUCCCCCAGCUCCCAUUUGUUCCCCAAACUUGGGCUCCCCUGGCUUCAUACUAUGUAGGGGCCCACUAGGUGUAUUUGCUAAGCACAGUCAAGCUCUCUAGGUGUGAUGUCUCACACAUCAAUCUUUUGAAGAACUGUCAGUAUUCCCAUUUUUCAAAUUAAGAAGCAGCUUCAGAGACAUCAAUUGCUUAAGAUCACAUAGCUGGAUACUUUCACUGCAACAUGUCUAGUUGUACAUUUCUGUUUAGCUUGUUUAUGACUCACUGGGCUUAUUAGUGUCACUUAUCAGUCUGGAACCACAACCAUCAUGUUUUUAAAUAUCUUUGUACUGUUCUCCUGAUUCUAGAAUGACAAUUACAUGUUAAAACUUUACUACUCUCUUCCAUAAUCUUUCCUUCAUAUUCCGUGUCUGUGCUACCUUUUGGAACUAACUCUAGUUCAGUCGGUCUUUCUUUGGUUGUAUCUAAUUUGCUGUUUAGCCUAGCUGUUGAAAUUUUAUUUCUGCUUACCAUGUCUGUAGGUUUCCCUUUAAUAUAUCCCAGGCCAUUAUUUAGUUCUGGGUCCCUGCAGAUAUUCCCAAGCUUUUGUUGUACAGGUUUCCCUUGCAUCUUAAAGCUGAGAGUUUCUAUGAUGCUUUCCAUGAAGCCAAGAUGGCAUAAAGCCAAGAGUAUUUCCCAGCUUUCCAAAGUGCAAAUUAGGGCACUUCACUUUUACAAAAGCCCUACAUUAGUAGGGAAACAGCUUCUGUUAACCCUGAAACUCUUCAGAUUUCUUUUGGUUAGUGAAAAGUUACAAUGUAGAAGGGAAGUAAGUGGCUGUAACGAAUACUUUCAGAAAAUAGGGGAUACCUGCAUUCUAAUCUGUGACUGAGUUUUACCACCUGAAGCCUCAGUGGGUCUGUUUUUGCUAGUCUCUGCUGGUUCUUGCUCAUGCUCCUUUACUCCAAGCAUUUGGUUAUUUGACUGUGUACUACUCAUUGUCCGAAAAAUUUCUAGGGGUUAUACUCAACAGUUCCUUCCAACAGAGGAUUUAUGGUUGUUACUGCCAGACAUCUCAGCUAGAAGCACCCUGGAACACAUGUGAUGUGAACCUGGGCGACAAAUCUGAGCCAAGGGCCAGCCGGUGACCGGAAAUUCUCAGGAUGGAGAGUCCAAAUCAUCUGGUCUUCCCUUCACA